UACGUAGGGCGCAAGCGUUGUCCGGAAUUAUUGGGCGUAAAGAGCUCGUAGGCGGCCUGUUACGUCUGCUGUGAAAUCCCGGGGCUUAACCCCGGGCGUGCAGUGGAUACGGGCAGGCUGGAGGCAGGCAGGGGAGAACGGAAUUCCCGGCUGUAGCGUGAAAUGCGCAGAUAUCGGGAGGAACACCGGUGGCGAAGGCGUUCUCUGGCCUGUACUGACGCUGAGGAGCGAAAGCGUGGGGAGC
This 244-nucleotide ribosomal RNA is filed under the name uncultured bacterium. RNAcentral's name for it is "partial 16S ribosomal RNA". It matches the Rfam family "Bacterial small subunit ribosomal RNA", at positions 524 to 769 of the family's 1533-position model. The record is from RNAcentral.